AUAACUAUUGGAAACGAUAGCUAAUACCGCAUAACAGCAUUUAACCCAUGUUNGAUGCUUGAAAGGAGCAAUUGCUUCACUAGUAGAUGGACCUGCGUUGUAUUAGCUAGUUGGUGAGGUAACGGCUCACCAAGGCAACGAUACAUAGCCGACCUGAGAGGGUGAUCGGCCACACUGGGACUGAGACACGGCCCAGACUCCUACGGGAGGCAGCAGUAGGGAAUCUUCGGCAAUGGGGGCAACCCUGACCGAGCAACGCCGCGUGAGUGAAGA
Molecule: ribosomal RNA, 273 nt
Filed under: Streptococcus infantarius subsp. infantarius
Lineage: Bacteria; Bacillati; Bacillota; Bacilli; Lactobacillales; Streptococcaceae
Description: partial 16S ribosomal RNA
Rfam family: Bacterial small subunit ribosomal RNA
Source: RNAcentral